Molecule: long non-coding RNA, 3165 nt
Organism: Corvus hawaiiensis (hawaiian crow)
Lineage: Eukaryota; Metazoa; Chordata; Aves; Passeriformes; Corvidae
Exons: 2
Source: RefSeq, a predicted model, not a curated record
UCCCAGGAAUGAUGGAAUUCGGCUGCGAGCAGGUGGGGAGCGCCGCCCGCCCCCAUUGGCCCCGCGCGCCCUGACGUCAGCCCAAUUAGGGUAAUGAGGAGCUGACGUCACAUCCUCGCAGGAAAAACUACAGGCAAACAACACGAACUAAACUACACCUACAGGAAAACAACACCAAAAAAGUCUCUCUCAAGAGGAAAGCACUUUUUAAAAGCAGAAAUGCGCGUUUCGAAUUAAAGCACACUGCCACAGCAUCUGACAAAGCGGCUCGGCAGCCCCAGCCGCACUGAAACACGCACGAGUGACGAGGAGCAAGUGUUUCAGAGCCUGAUGGAACUGGCUCGGCUCGGCUGGAGGAUGGGGGUCACAUCCACGCCCCCCGCACGAUUUGACGGUAAUUGGUGUGAGCAGAUCCGGCACUUUGUUUCCUGUUUACUGCUCGCACUGCAGCGGGGUUUUACAGAAUCCCUGCUCCCGAUAUGACUCACUCGGCCCUCGGAGGAGCUGCCAGCAGCCAGGCGUGUGUGAGAGCAAAGCUGAGCCCUCGCCAUGGCCAGCGAACUGCUCCCCUCCCCUUCGUCUGCAGGGCAGGAGCUCCUCGGCACCGCUGCACAAAACCGGAGCGUCCAGGGCGAUCCCGUCCCCGCACACCGCGCUGCAGGGAGAGGAUCGCUCCUGCUCUCACCAUCCCGGCCCUCCGAGCACCGGCACAGCCCCGGCCAUUCCCAUGGCAGCGCUCAUUCCCAGUGUGCCAUUUCCAAGAUUCCGGCAAUUUAGGAGCCAGUCUGGCUGAAGCACUCUGCCUGUUUUCAGCAGUGUUAUCAAAUCAAGCUGUCGGGCAGCUUGUGCAUCGGGAAGAGCCGCUUCCCAGAAGCCAAGCCAAGGUUUCUCCAAGGCAUUGUGAAGAACCUGGGAAUGCUGUUUCCAGCAACAGGCUUGCAGAAAUUAAUUCCAGAGCAGGAGAAGAUAUGGGAAAGUGUUGUACUGACCAUCUGUCGUCACCAAACAGGUCCUAGAGUGCUGCAUUUUAUCCUCACAAGGAUCUGAGGUCGCCUCAGGCGGCUCUUGGAGCGCAUUGCAAAGGGAAAGACAGACAACAAAUCAACCUGAGCCCCACCAAGAGCCUUAGGGUUGCAGAUUUGUGGUGGAACCCAAAAAGAGCACAGGGCAGCAGAAAUAGAGAGGGUUUCCAUGGAAUUCUGCUCGCGGCAUUUCUCCUGUCCAGCUCCUCCUCCCUCAGUGUGACAAUAAAUGCACAAGUAUAGAAAAGGCACCACAAAUGUCUGUGUUUGCUCAAGGAAAAGAAGCACCCAGGCACAGCAGGGUUCAUUUUAGAUGCUGAAACUGGGAUUUCUGCAUGAAAUGGUGGAGGGAACACAGCUCCCAGACGGAGCCAGAGGUGCAGCCAAAGCAGCAGCCCAGCCAGGCAGUGUGGGAGGUGCAGGGCAGGGAGUGGCCGGGGAUGAACCCACACACCCUGCACUUGGAUUCCUUGAAAGAUCCAGAGCCCAUGAAGGCUCUGUGCUGCCCAGUUCCCAUUUAAAAGUCCAUCAAAAUCAUGCAAGAAUAGCUGACACUGAAGUAUUUUCAUAUCCUUGCAAGGACAGGUCAUGAGAUCUCCGGGCCACCAAAAGCUAGCCAAAAAGCACAUUCCAAACCUAAAUUAAACCCAGAUUUAGACUCCACACACUCAGUAUAUCUAAUAAGAACACUUCAGUUGAUAAAAAAAAUGAAAUGCAUGCAGUGUCGGAACAACCAUGAACCUCAUUUCAUCCAUGUGGCAAAGCCACCUAUGACACCUGUAACAAUAUAAGGUAAUAUUUAUAUAUUUUUUUAAAAUUGAUAUUGUAUUAAUAGACUAGUGGAGAUUAUUUUCAUUACCAGCAAGCAAGAGGAGUUUGAUGAUCUAAUAUUUGGGGAAAAAAGUAGUCAAAAUAGUAAUAUAAAACUUGUUUGAGAAAACAAGAUACUGGACAAGAAAAAUACCAUGAAAUAUGGAAAACAAAACCACAGGCACUGAGAAAAGAUCUGAACUAGACAUUGGUACAUAUCACAAGAAUUAAUUGCUGCAGACUAAUUACAAGGGUUUUUAAUAUGUAUCUCUGAGAAAAAAAGUCUGCCACUCCUGUUUAUAACUGCUGGAGGGAAGAGGUGGGAAGGAUUUCUUUGUUUAACCAGACAGAGCUCCUGGGAUGAGGAGGAGCUUGAGAAAGGAGAGGUCAAAACAGCUUUUGAUCCUUUGGAGCUGCUAUUACAGCUCCCAGCAGAAGUUUUAGAACAGGAUAUUUAUUAAACAUCUAAGGAGCCUGAGGAACAUCAGCUGGCUGGGAACAGCGACCCCGUGCAUUCCCCUGCAGACAGACUUCCCACUGCAGUGAGGUGUCAACAUCUGGAAAAACCAAAAAAAUGAAGUGCAAGUUGUCAAACAUUGGAAAUCUUGGAAAACAAACCUUAACACAGCAUUAGAAAGCCUUGUUGGAGCUGCUGAACUCAACACAUGCUGUUCACCGGGCAAAUUCACAGACGACAAAAGCAAACCCAGUCCUGGGUGAUGAGCUGCAUUUUGCUUUGCUCGGGUGUUGGGAUUUGUCUUCAUUUAGCACAAACUUUCUAACCCAAUGGCAUCAAAGGCUCUUUGCUGACUCAGAUACCAGCACAAACUUAUUCUGCUCAAACCCCAAAACUGACCAAGAUAGUUGAGGGUUUGUAGCUGAACUAAGACAAAAGUAGUGCUUCAGCACCCAGGCAAGGCACCCAAGGCAUGAUGCAAAUCCUGGGCCAGACUGCAGCUGCCAAUCCUGUUCCAAAUGGAUGUUAAUCACCAAAAAUUAAGCCCAUUCUCCACACAGUGUGGCCAGUGCAAGAGAAGGCUUAACCCCUGCGUGAGGGAGCGGGGACUGUGGCUGGCCAUGGAUCUCAGCUGCCUCAGGACAAUGUUUUAAGACUUUUUUUGAGGUUUUUUUUCAAUAUAGAGGCAGGAAAGGUCCUGAAACCAGAGGGGGGAAACCCAUAUUCUAGCAAAUGCAGUUGCAGUCUGCAGGGAGACCCUAUGGCCUAGUCCUACAGACCCUACUCAACCAUGAGUCCUGUAAUUAUUAUUGAAAUGAAGCCUGGCAUCUAUUCCAUGACCAACCCAGAAAAUAAAGCAUUUCCACUAUAAUAAGA